UUGCUUCAGCAGCAAAUAUACUAAAAUUGGAACGAUACAGAGAAGAUUAGCAUGGCCCUUGCACAAAGAUGACAUAUAAAUUCAUGAAGCGUUCCCUAUUUUA
Small nuclear RNA from Neofelis nebulosa (Clouded leopard), 103 nucleotides. The record is from RefSeq and is a predicted model, not a curated record. NCBI's taxonomy places the organism in Eukaryota, Metazoa, Chordata, Mammalia, Carnivora, Felidae.